GACAGAGGUCCCGAGCGUUAGGCGGAAUCACUGGGCUUAAAGCGUGUGUAGGCGGCGGCCUAAGUACCUUGUGAAGUCCCACGGCUCACCCGUGGAACUGCUCGGUAUACUGGGUCGCUUGAGCCACUUAGGGGCUACCGGAACAAAUGGUGGAGCGGUGAAAUGCGUAGAUAUCAUUUGGAACGCCAAUGGUGAAAACAGGUAGCUGGGAGUGUGCUGACGCUGAGACACGAAAGCCAGGGGAGCAAACGGG
RNAcentral lists this ribosomal RNA (253 nucleotides) under uncultured bacterium. Its description in RNAcentral is "partial 16S ribosomal RNA". It matches the Rfam family "Bacterial small subunit ribosomal RNA", at positions 524 to 776 of the family's 1533-position model. The record is from RNAcentral.